GUCCGCAAAAUGGCCAUUUUCUGCCCUCUCACGGCGGCGACGGGGGUUCGAAUCCCCCUGGGGACGCCA
Molecule: transfer RNA, 69 nt
Filed under: Methylococcus magnus
Lineage: Bacteria; Pseudomonadati; Pseudomonadota; Gammaproteobacteria; Methylococcales; Methylococcaceae
Description: Methylococcus sp. Mc7 tRNA-Ser
Rfam family: tRNA
About the family: Transfer RNA (tRNA) molecules are approximately 80 nucleotides in length. Their secondary structure includes four short double-helical elements and three loops (D, anti-codon, and T loops).
Source: RNAcentral